This is a long non-coding RNA of Sorex araneus (European shrew), 3314 nucleotides long. RefSeq lists it as uncharacterized. The transcript has 3 exons. The record is from RefSeq and is a predicted model, not a curated record. Lineage: Eukaryota; Metazoa; Chordata; Mammalia; Eulipotyphla; Soricidae.
GGUCCAGUGGCUUAAAGCCUGAAUGAGGUCACAAGCUCAUGAGGCCACAAGUCCAAACCCUGGUGCUACUACAUGUGCUAAAGUCAUCCUGGCAGCCCAUUUUCUGGAAGCUUUGGAAAGAGGAAGCAUAAAAAACAUUUUGUUGGGUAAUUUUUGGUGGGGCCACACAGGUGGUGCUCAAGGGCUAUUCCUGGCUGGGUGUGGCGGGCGGGUGUUGGGGCCUACUCCUGGUGGUGCUCGGCUGGACCCAAGCCUCCUGCUUGUGAAGCUUAUGCCCCUUCUGUUGCAUAGCUCCCUGGCCCUUGAAAACCUUUUUUUUUUUUUUUUGGUUUCUGGGUCACACCAGCGAUGCACAGAGGUUACUCCUGGCUCAUGCACUCAGUAAUCACUCCUGGCGGUGCUGGGGGGACCCUAUGGGAUGCUGGGAAUCGAACCUGGGUCAACCGCAUGCAAGGAAAAUGCCCUACCCGCUGUGCUAUCGCUCCAGUCCCUGAAAAACUUUUUAAUUGCUACUUGGGACUAGAACAGAGUAUAGCAGUUAGGGCAACUCUUAGUGUGCACCUGACCUAGGUUUCAUUCUUAGCACCACCUGGUCUCCCAGCAUCAGUGGGCAUGGCUUGGUGGCACCCAGAAUCCAGGGGUGACCCAGCUAAUGCCCAGCACUGCACAGUACAGGUAGCACAGACCAUUAGGCCCUCGCACUGAACUGCCAUACCAGCUACUGAGAAUCACUGGAGGGGUCCUUGGGCCUCCUGAAAUCUGCGUUCUCCACCCCGUAUCCAAAUAAGUAAACAACCUAAAAACAGCGGCUUCCUCUGAGUGGUGUGCAUGUGUGAUUUUUCCUUCUGUGCCUCUAGUGUCAGGUGGUGCUAGUUCGGUAGAUCAGCAGGGAAAAGCGUUGUUGAGGGUGUGUCUCAUCCCGUGUUUGGUGGAGGACAGAGUGGCAUUCGAGGGGUGCCACCAACCUGGUGUUUGUCUGCGCCAUCCUCCAAGUCAUCAAGAAGGGGCUUGUGGGCUCCAUGAAGGCCUUGCAGAAGCAGUACGUGUCCUGGGACACGGUGGUGACGAGUGAGGAUGCCGACGCCAACACCGUGUACAGUGCCCUGGAGGCCAUGUUCAUCCACUGUCUGCACACCAAGCACAUCCUCGCCGAGGAGGGAGAUGAAAGGAAGAAGCGUGCUCAGUGGAAGCCCUUGUCACAGCCUGCCUUCUGGCUCCUCUGAAAGCCAUCACCCACAGGGAGCACUCCAUGCCAGCAGCAUUCGGGUCUGGUGGGCGAGCUGACCAGCGCAGCCUGCCAGGGGAGCAGCCAGCCAGAGCCUCGGGAGGAUGGAGCCGGACUGAGCAUCGUGGUUCCCUCACCCACAAGCCCAGUUCGUCUCAGCAGACAUAAAGCAGUUCAACAUCGUGCCCUUGCCCUAAACAGCUCCCUGUGCCAGGAACUGGCAGACUACUAUUUUGGUUUCAAUGGAUGGUAUAAAAGGAUUGUCAAGGUGGAAGUGGAGAGAGAGUUCAAGUGCAGAGCCUGUGCUGACCGUGUUCAAGGCCCGGGGUUUUGUCCUGAGUACUGCAGGACUCCCCAGCACUGUGGGGUGUGCCUGCAGGGGGUCCUGUGGACCAACAGACCUGACAAAUGAGAGUUGUCUAAGUGAAAGUGUCUAAGCACCGGUCACACCCCAGAAUCAAUCAAGAUCUCAGUGAAUUGAUGGUGGUGUCAUAUUUUAUAGCACUUUUGUGCUCUGUAUGUGCGUGGCUGGUGUAGUUCAUGGAAAGUUUGGCUUAAUGUUGAAGUCACAGGUUACUUCAACUGUUAGCACGGAUUGCUGGAAUUGAGGUUUUGUUUUGAAUUAAACAGUUUAAAAUCUACAUUGAGAUGUUCAGAAGGACCUUCAAUCUAAAAUCCAGCUUCAGGAUCUUUCUGACCUCGAAGAAAGGGAAAAUGAAGAUAUUGUGGCACCAUUUCAGAAGCAAAGCAUAAAGAUCUUCUGUGCUUAGAGGUGGUAUUGUCACCCUUUGAUUGCAAGAGCCCUGGAGUUGGCAUAGCCGAGACUUUGGAUAAACUGUGAGGUCUCUGUGGAGAUUGGAAUGGGGGUGUGGGUAAGAAUUCUCUCUCUCUCUCUCUCUCUCUCUUUCUCUCUCUCUCUUUCUCUCUCUCUCUCUCUCUCUCUCUCUCUCUCUCUCUCUCUCUCUCCCCCCCCAUCAUAUUUUCAGAUACAUCAGAAACAGCCCUCUCCUUGCUAAACUGCUAAAGCCUUAGGCAGAUGUUUUUAACAAUACUUGUUUAAACCUUAGGUAGUAACGAACAGAAUUUUGGGGGAUGGGGUGGGGGAAGUGGACGUGCUGGGGACACCUAAUGAUGCUCCUGGCUCAGCACUCAGAAAUCACUCCUGACGGUGCUCAGAGGACUCUGUGGGAUGCUGGAGAUCAAACCUGGGUUGGCUACAUGCAAGGCAAGUGCUCUACCUGCUGUACUAUCACUCUGACAGAACCUUAACUUCACAAUUUGAGAGCUGUCUUCCUACCAUGAAGAUUAGGGGUAUGGGGAUGGGAACAGUAUUUCUCCUAUUUGGGGCAACAAUCUUCUUUGUUCCAAAGUAAUCUUUCAAGUAUAGAUCAUGUGUAAUCUUCUGUUAUCCCAGCAAAACCUUCAUCUAGUUAAUGAAAUAAACUAAUUAAAUGUUUUCCCCCCAGAAUCUAUGGCACUUAGGCCUAGGGUAUACAGUCAAAAAAACCGGGCUGUUCAUCUCACUAGACUGAACUAAGCUAUAUCCCCACGCCGGCUGAGAAGAAAUUUUCUUCUUUCUCGGGAAGAAACGCGGUGUGUCAUCAACUACAGUGUGAUGUCCAUUAAGCAAACAGACCUGGUGGCGUGGGAAUGGGAUAUAAGGGGAAAAAUUAUGUACAAGGAACAGCGGGACGCUGGUGGAAUCUCGAGCCGGAGCCGAUACCAGCGCAAGACCUUCGGUUCCAGAGACUGCUUGCAGACACUCUACUAGUCUAUCAACUAAGCCAGAGCCCCACGCCUGCUGAUGACGGGAAAUAACCAUCCUUUUUGGUUUUUUUUCCCUUGUCAGGCAGCGUGGCGAUUACUAAAACAGGCGUGAACUCGGUGGCGCGGGGCAAGGGGGAAAAAGAAAAACUAUGUAACAAACAGCGGGACUUAAUAUCUCUAUAUUCUUAGCAAUGGAGAACUAUCAAAUGCCUCCUUGGCAAUAGGACUGCUUUUCUUUUUUGGGGGAAACCCCAACAACGGUAGUGAGUUGUGUGUUGAAACAUGGAAUGUAAUCGAAAUAAGGCGUAAACGAAGUGAAACA